Mus musculus (house mouse) is the source of this 273-nucleotide non-coding RNA. NCBI's taxonomy places the organism in Eukaryota, Metazoa, Chordata, Mammalia, Rodentia, Muridae. The record is from Rfam.
AGUCAUGUGAGGCUAUGAGAGCAAUGCGGCCCUCACUGGUCUCCAGGAUUGAUGUAGCUGAUCCGGCUGGCUAGCCAGGUGUAUGCAUCUUAGCACAUUGCUCCAUCUUCUUCUUUUCCACAGUUUCACGAUCCCUGGGAGAGAACCGGCUUCCCAAAUAGAGGACCACUCUUCAGUCAAGGUUGUCAGAAUGGCUGUAGACCUCCAGACAAGAUCUUAAGAAUGUAACAUGGCUAAGCUCCCACAGUCCUGCCCACCAGGUUCUAGUUCUCU